CUACGGGACGCAGCAGCAGGGAAUAUUGCACAAUGGACGGAAGUCUGAUGCAGCGACGCCGCGUGGAUGAUGAAGGCCUUCGGGUUGUAAAAUCCUUUUCAGGGAGAAGAGGAAGGACGGUAUCCCUGGAAUAAGCGUCGGCUAACUACGUGCCAGCAGCCGCGGUAAUACGUAGGACGCAAGCGUUAUCCGGAUUUACUGGGCGUAAAGCGUCUGUAGGCGGUUUAGUAAGUUUGAUGUGAAAGCUCCAGGCUCAACUUGGAGAGUGCAUUGAAUACUGCUAGACUUGAGGGGAUCAGAGGAAAGCGGAAUUUCCGGUGUAGCGGUAAAAUGCGCAGAUAUCGGAAAGAACACCAGUGGCGAAGGCGGCUUUCUGGGAUCAACCUGACGCUGAGAGACGAAAGCUAGGGUAGCGAACAGGAUUAGAUACCCUCGUAGUC
This 440-nucleotide ribosomal RNA is filed under the name uncultured bacterium. RNAcentral describes it as "partial 16S ribosomal RNA". It matches the Rfam family "Bacterial small subunit ribosomal RNA", at positions 339 to 795 of the family's 1533-position model. The record is from RNAcentral.